RNAcentral lists this ribosomal RNA (1292 nucleotides) under uncultured bacterium. RNAcentral's name for it is "bacterial SSU rRNA". It matches the Rfam family "Bacterial small subunit ribosomal RNA", at positions 82 to 1399 of the family's 1533-position model. The record is from RNAcentral.
UUUUUGUGACUGAGUGGCGGACGGGUGAGUAACGCGUGGGUAACCUGCCUCAUACAGGGGGAUAACAGUUGGAAACGACUGCUAAUACCGCAUAAGCGCACAGGAUUGCAUGAUCCAGUGUGAAAAACUCCGGUGGUAUGAGAUGGACCCGCGUCUGAUUAGCCAGUUGGCGGGGUAACGGCCCACCAAAGCGACGAUCAGUAGCCGACCUGAGAGGGUGACCGGCCACAUUGGGACUGAGACACGGCCCAAACUCCUACGGGAGGCAGCAGUGGGGAAUAUUGCACAAUGGGGGAAACCCUGAUGCAGCGACGCCGCGUGAGCGAAGAAGUAUUUCGGUAUGUAAAGCUCUAUCAGCAGGGAAGAAGAAUGACGGUACCUGACUAAGAAGCACCGGCUAAAUACGUGCCAGCAGCCGCGGUAAUACGUAUGGUGCAAGCGUUGUCCGGAAUUACUGGGUGUAAAGGGAGCGCAGGCGGACCGGCAAGUUGGAAGUGAAAACUAUGGGCUCAACCCAUAAAUUGCUUUCAAAACUGCUGGCCUUGAGUAGUGCAGAGGUAGGUGGAAUUCCCGGUGUAGCGGUGGAAUGCGUAGAUAUCGGGAGGAACACCAGUGGCGAAGGCGACCUACUGGGCACCAACUGACGCUGAGGCUCGAAAGCAUGGGUAGCAAACAGGAUUAGAUACCCUGGUAGUCCAUGCCGUAAACGAUGAUUACUAGGUGUUGGAGGAUUGACCCCUUCAGUGCCGCAGUUAACACAAUAAGUAAUCCACCUGGGGAGUACGACCGCAAGGUUGAAACUCAAAGGAAUUGACGGGGGCCCGCACAAGCAGUGGAGUAUGUGGUUUAAUUCGAAGCAACGCGAAGAACCUUACCAGGUCUUGACAUCCGAUGCAUAGCUUAGAGAUAAGUGAAGUCCUUCGGGACAUCGAGACAGGUGGUGCAUGGUUGUCGUCAGCUCGUGUCGUGAGAUGUUGGGUUAAGUCCCGCAACGAGCGCAACCCUUAUUGCCAGUUACUACGAAAGAGGACUCUGGCGAGACUGCCGUUGACAAAACGGAGGAAGGUGGGGAUGACGUCAAAUCAUCAUGCCCUUUAUGACCUGGGCUACACACGUGCUACAAUGGUGCUAACAGAGUGAGGCGAGACUGUGAAGUUAAGCAAAUCACAAAAAUGGCAUCUCAGUUCGGAUUGUAGUCUGCAACUCGACUACAUGAAGCUGGAAUCGCUAGUAAUCGCAGAUCAGAAUGCUGCGGUGAAUACGUUCCCGGGUCUUGCACUCACCGCCCGUCA